This 619-nucleotide ribosomal RNA is filed under the name Pseudomonas synxantha. RNAcentral describes it as "bacterial SSU rRNA". It matches the Rfam family "Bacterial small subunit ribosomal RNA", at positions 48 to 664 of the family's 1533-position model. Lineage: Bacteria; Pseudomonadati; Pseudomonadota; Gammaproteobacteria; Pseudomonadales; Pseudomonadaceae. The record is from RNAcentral.
GCUACCAUGCAAGUCGAGCGGUAGAGAGAAGCUUGCUUCUCUUGAGAGCGGCGGACGGGUGAGUAAUGCCUAGGAAUCUGCCUGGUAGUGGGGGAUAACGUUCGGAAACGGACGCUAAUACCGCAUACUUCCUACGGGAGAAAGCAGGGGACCUUCGGGCCUUGCGCUAUCAGAUGAGCCUAGGUCGGAUUAGCUAGUUGGUGAGGUAAUGGCUCACCAAGGCGACGAUCCGUAACUGGUCUGAGAGGAUGAUCAGUCACACUGGAACUGAGACACGGUCCAGACUCCUACGGGAGGCAGCAGUGGGGAAUAUUGGACAAUGGGCGAAAGCCUGAUCCAGCCAUGCCGCGUGUGUGAAGAAGGUCUUCGGAUUGUAAAGCACUUUAAGUUGGGAGGAAGGGUUGUAGAUUAAUACUCUGCAAUUUUGACGUUACCGACAGAAUAAGCACCGGCUAACUCUGUGCCAGCAGCCGCGGUAAUACAGAGGGUGCAAGCGUUAAUCGGAAUUACUGGGCGUAAAGCGCGCGUAGGUGGUUUGUUAAGUUGGAUGUGAAAUCCCCGGGCUCAACCUGGGAACUGCAUUCAAACUGACUGACUAGAGUAUGGUAGAGGGUGGGUG